GAUGAAGAACGCAGCGAAAUGCGAUAAGUAGUGUGAAUUGCAGAAUUCAGUGAAUCAUCGAAUCUUUGAACGCACAUUGCGCCCCUCGGUAUUCCGUGGGGCAUGCCUGUUCGAGCGUCAUUUACCCCUCAAGCACUGCUUGGUGUUGGGCGUCUGUCCCGCUUCGCGCGCGGACUCGCCCCAAAGGUAUUGGCAGCGGUCGUGCCAGCUUCUCGCGCAGCACAUUGCGCUUCUCGAGGCGGUCGAUCGGCGGCCACGAAGCUCACCUCCACCGUUGACCUCGGAUCAGGUAGGGAUACCCGCUGAACUUAAGCAUAUCAAUAAGCGGAGGA
Molecule: unclassified non-coding RNA, 332 nt
Filed under: soil metagenome
Description: partial contains 5.8S ribosomal RNA, internal transcribed spacer 2, and large subunit ribosomal RNA
Rfam family: 5.8S ribosomal RNA (bases 1-120)
Source: RNAcentral